GGCGGGCUAAACAUGCAAGUCGAACGCACGAAGUUGAACAGCUUGCUCUUUAACCAAGUGAGUGGCGGACGGGUGAGUAACACGUGGGUAACCUGCCCAUUACAGGGGGAUAACAUUCGGAAACGGAUGCUAAUACCGCAUAGUUUCAGGAAUCGCAUGAUUCUUGAAGGAAAGGUGGCUUCGGCUACCACUAAUGGAUGGACCCGCGGCGUAUUAGCUAGUUGGUGAGGUAAUGGCUCACCAAGGCGAUGAUACGUAGCCGACCUGAGAGGGUGAUCGGCCACACUGGGACUGAGACACGGCCCAGACUCCUACGGGAGGCAGCAGUAGGGAAUCUUCCGCAAUGGACGAAAGUCUGACGGAGCAACGCCGCGUGAGUGAAGAAGGUUUUCGGAUCGUAAAACUCUGUUGUUAAAGAAGAACAAGGAUGAGAGUAACUGCUCAUCCCCUGACGGUAUUUAACCAGAAAGCCACGGCUAACUACGUGCCAGCAGCCGCGGUAAUACGUAGGUGGCAAGCGUUGUCCGGAUUUAUUGGGCGUAAAGCGAGCGCAGGCGGUUCUUUAAGUCUGAUGUGAAAGCCCCCGGCUCAACCGGGGAGGGUCAUUGGAAACUGGAGAACUUGAGUGCAGAAGAGGAGAGUGGAAUUCCACGUGUAGCGGUGAAAUGCCUAGAUAUGUGGAGGAACACCAGUGGCGAAGGCGACUCUCUGGUCUGUAACUGACGCUGAGGCUCGAAAGCGUGUGGAGCAAACAGGAUUAGAUACCCUGGUAGUCCACGCCGUAGACGAUGAGUGCUAAGUGUUGGAGGGUUUCCGCGCUUCAGUGCUGCAGCUAACGCAUUAAGCACUCCGCCUGGGGAGUACGGCCGCAAGGCUGAAACUCAAAGGAAUUGACGGGGACCCGCACAAGCGGUGGAUCAUGUGGUUUAAUUCGAAGCAACGCGAAGAACCUUACCACGUCUUGACAUCCUUUGACCACUCUAGAGAUAGAGCUUUCCCUUCGGGGACAAAGUGACAGGUGGUGCAUGGUUGUCUUCAGCUCGUGUCGUGAGAUGUUGGGUUAAGUCCCGCAACGAGCGCACCCUUAAUACUAGGUGCCACCAUUCAGUGGGCACUCAAAGAGACUGCCGGUGACCACCGGAGGAAGGGGGGAUGAAGUCAAUCAUCCUGCCCUUAUGACUGGGCACCCCCUGCUACAUGGAUGGUAAAACGGUCCCAGGUCCGAGGCAACCUGG
Molecule: ribosomal RNA, 1235 nt
Filed under: Carnobacterium maltaromaticum
Lineage: Bacteria; Bacillati; Bacillota; Bacilli; Lactobacillales; Carnobacteriaceae
Description: bacterial SSU rRNA
Rfam family: Bacterial small subunit ribosomal RNA
Source: RNAcentral